UACGAAGGGAGCUAGCGUUGUUCGGAAUCACUGGGCGUAAAGCGCACGUAGGCGGAUGUGUCAGUCAGGGGUGAAAUCCCGGAGCUCAACUUCGGAACUGCCUUUGAUACAGCACGUCUUGAGUCCGAUAGAGGUGGGUGGAAUUCCUAGUGUAGAGGUGAAAUUCGUAGAUAUUAGGAAGAACACCGGUGGUGAAGGCGGCCCACUGGAUCGGUACUGACGCUGAGGUGCGAAAGCGUGGGGAGCAAACAGG
Molecule: ribosomal RNA, 253 nt
Filed under: uncultured bacterium
Lineage: Bacteria
Description: partial 16S ribosomal RNA
Rfam family: Bacterial small subunit ribosomal RNA
Source: RNAcentral